Molecule: long non-coding RNA, 4475 nt
Organism: Anas platyrhynchos (mallard)
Lineage: Eukaryota; Metazoa; Chordata; Aves; Anseriformes; Anatidae
Source: RefSeq, a predicted model, not a curated record
CUUCUCAGAGCUGGUAACCAGUUGGUGGAGCCCAGGGAUCGUGUCCUGGUUACGCACAAUGCCUCCCCUUCCUCCUCUCCGCACUGCUCUGUCCUUGUCCUUUGCUGGGGACCUUCCAGGCAGGACAGUGAAUGUAUAGGCAUCGUGAUCCCAGGAAAGAUUUUUGGCAGAAGUUACUGACAUGGCUUAUUGCUGGGAGCUGGUAGUGUACCACUGUCUGGGCCAUUCUUAACCCCAGCUCUGCCACACAAAUGCAGCUGAACUGGUCCUUUCCAUCUUCGUAGAUCUCCUUCAAGGUACUCCAGAUUUAGCCCUUUGUCACAUCUACAGUAGACAUAAAGACAGUCAUUCUCAGGAAGAAGUGCAGGGCUAAGGAAGUUUGAACACUUGGACUGCAAACAUAAAACCGUUCUGUUUUCUUCCUUGUGGGUGUCAUUGUCUGCAGCUCCACCCAUCAUCUCAGAAGUACCUUUUCCUUGGUGCUGGUGCAUACUAUGAUUUCUUCAUCAUCAUACUGUUAGUUGGGGACUGCACAAGGUUUUUUGUGGAAGCUUCUGGAAGAAGCAGACAGACAGACAGAAGGAACUGUUUAAGCAGCAAUAGAUGUUGUCAUACUGCCCCUGACUCUUAUAUCUUGACAGUAAUCCUCAUUUGAAGUUUUGAUGAUUAUAGGCUAUGUUUGGCGCUGCUCCUUGUUGCACAUGGAACAAGAUGCUGUGGCUGAUCCUCUAACCUAUAUGCUGUCGUAGUGGUCACAGAGUGGUUACAAAAUUUCCCACGGCUCCAGAUCUGUUGUGUGGAUGCUGGACAAGUGCUGGCAGGCACUUCCAUGGUGUUCAAAUCCUACCAUGGAGAAGAAAGACUCUGUUGACUCCUAUGGGCUCUGGUUCAGGCCCCCCAGCAACUGGACACCUCAAUUAAUUUUCUUUUCUCAAACCAAACUUCCAGAAGAAGCCUCAGUAGAGUGAUGUGCUCUCUUCAGGCACUGUUCUUGUAUGUACAGACUGAGUCAUCCAUUCAGGGAAUAGGAAACAUGCUCGCACUCUGAGUCACUGGACAAAUACAGAAUGCCAAGCAUCAAAAAUGUAGAAGAGUCUUUGCUUCAAAGAACUUUCGGAAAUUGAAUGUUUCUUAACUAUUACAAGCAGUUGUUGAGCAAUUCUGACAAAUCUGUAAAAUUCAUCACUGUCUUGAGGAUAGGAAAAGGAGCAGUUCCAAGAACAGAUGAACUAAUGAAACCUAAUUUCCUAUAAAUAUCUAUUUCAUGAUUAUUGUCUUUGGUGUUUGAAGAGGAUAAGAUUGGUGGAAACUUGCUGCAUUGCAGAACACUUCUCUCUGAGGGGACUUUAUGGAAUCUAAUGAGAAUUAUGCCAGUCUUUCUCACUAGAGACACAUUACUGGGGUGUCUGCUGAGGUAAAAUUUGUCAGUACACUCAGAAAUUAAGGUGGGUAGACAGAUGGACACAGAGCGCUACAGUUAGGUUAAUCUAUGUAGUCUCUGUUUCUUCUCAGAAAGCAGGUUAGAAGAACCUUAUAUAUUUGGUAAUCUGGCAGUCACCAAACUAGAACUGGUGCCUGAAGCAUUAGUAGUAGCAAGGAGGGAGGUGCUACUGGAAGAGAAAUUCAGGGUGAUCCUGUAAUGCCUAACGUGCUGAAAGACAAAGCAAUAAAGUCAGUCAGACAGUGAUAAAGUUAUUUGCCUGCAUAUGAAUAUAUGCUUAAUCUGUAAGACUGCAUUACCUAAUAAAGUAACAGUUUCAUUCAGAGUCAAAUGCAGCCUGGUAGCUUGAGGAGUAGUUUCCUGUAUAAAUCCACAAAAGCAAUGAGAAAUUGAACUGACCUGGUUAUGCCUGGUACUGUCUGGUUAUGGAAUGUCCCAAAGCAUGCUGAGAUGUUUGUGUUCAGUCACUGAUCAUUAUUUGAGCACUUUUUUUAUCUUUUUAAUUAACUUUUAUAUUAUUAUUAUUUUACAUAAUUGCUAUGAAUAGCUUCUGAAUUCAAGAAGCCAUAUAAGGUGCAAAGUUAGCUUAUACUAUUUCUGAUGAUGAACAGCACUGCUCAUAUGUGCCUGAACUCUUGUCUGCAUGACAGUAUGGAUCAGUUAGAGUAAGGAGCCUCUUCCUUUUGGGGUGGAAUAACCCUCAGCUUCUUACUGUAGUCAGGAUACUGCAGGUAGUGUAAUUGUACCAGUUCUGUUUAGUGUGUGCUAAUUGGCUUGGCACGGAUGGCAAAGAUUUAAAACAACCUGCAUAAAAUUUGACAGGAACGUGACAUGAAAUUUGGAGUAAAGGCCUAGAAACUGGCCAGGUUGUAGAGAGGUAGAGCAUCACCAGAGAUAUUUCUCUUAAUGUGAUGUUUAAUUUCAUGUGUUUGGACCCCUCUUUGUAGAUUAUCUAACAAGCAGACAUAAAACAAGACUCGGUUGUGUACCACAUGUGAGCUGCUGUAUGGCUUGAAAUGGUGAGGUGUACCUCAGACAGUAAAAAGAUUAUUGCUUGUAUAAAGAUCUCAGCAGAAAGCCAGCUGCAGUGCCAUGUACUCAUGAUAUGCUAUGCCUGUGAGAUUUGUCUCUGAUGAAAUAGUAUUAAUAACCUGAUCUCCUGCAGGAGGACUCUGGGAGUGUGAAAAUUACAAAGCAUGGAACCAUCUGGAAUAAACUUUUCAGAUUGCUUGUAAAAUUGUACUUAAAGUUGGGGAAAUUAAUCUUCCCCACAACAGGUUUUCCUUUUGUUUCCUUUCUCCUCCCAUGGCUUUUCAUUUCAGCAUUUCCAAAGAUAGCAAUUUAAAACUCUGUGGAAGAAGCCAGGCCACUCACUGCUGAUGAAAGUGUUGAAGGAGACACGCUUCUGGAACCUGGCCACAAGCCACACUGCGUUUCGUCUAGCAAGGCUCAGAGUGUUUUCUCAAUGCUGUUAAUUAUACAAGGCCUUGAAAGAAGAGAGCAACUAUGUUAAAUAAAAAUCCAAAUUCUCUAGAAACUGGGAACUAUUUUCUCUCUCCCUCUACUGUGAAUAUUAAGUUUUCUGUCACUCUCUUACCCUAAAGAAUUGCUAGCAGCGCCACAAGCUCUUGAACAUCCUGGGGGCCUCCUGGCUCCACUGCCAGCCACCCCAAACAUCUCAGCCCAGGAGCAGCCACACCAGCAAGCACGGAGCAAAAUGGCCUGCUGGUUGCUUGUGCGCACCUGUGCAGACCUGCGCUGCUAUUUGAAUGUGCACUCUGCAAAUACUGGCAGUACCACCCAGACUUCAUUAGCCUAAGGUGAUCAGUACAUUUCUGUGCAUGGGAGUGUCUGCAUUUUAUGUAUUACUAUGGCUUGCCUGGGUGUGUAUAUAUUUGUUUGUGUGCUUGCCCUGUAAUGAUACAACCCAUCUUGCAUGUAUAUUUUAAAAUAAUUUAUAAAGUGAAUGUAGGUACCAUUAUCUGCACCACACGGCAGAGGAAACUGAAGUGGAGGGUCGGAGGUUAUGCCCUUUGCUGGAGGAUGCAGAGCAAGUCAUUGGCAGGCUGGGACACCAGAUUUCUGGCAUGAAGCCUGCAGUCUCCACUAAGCCACGUUACUUUCUGUGUUUAUUCAUUUUAGGAAGCAUCAUGAAUUGUAGAUUAUCUAACAUGCAUUCAUUCCAGUUGUGUUCAGAAAGCCCCAUGGCACUGGAGAGAGGAAAUUUUAUUCCUUUGCCUAAUGACCUUUGCCACUGCUGCUGCUACUGACAGCAAGACUUGAGAUCAGCAACAAUUCGUGUUGACUAAAGUCUGACCUGCAAAUAGCAGCUAACAAGAGCACUUAUGCAUCCUUUACCAAAUGUUUGAUGGAGUGACCUGCCAAGUCCAGCGACAUUCACUUCCAGUGACCAUAGCAGGUGGUCAGAGACCCAAUUAUGACCUGGAAUGCUAAACUAGAGUCCUGCAGAGGACCUGAUCCAGCAAUUAGUCCAGACCUCUGCCUUGCUGCAGGUUUAUUUACAGUGAUCACUUGCAUAUAUUCAUUCUGGAAAUUAUUAGUUUUGUUUAGUACAGUAAAGCUUACUGGAAAGCAGUUUUUUGUUUGUUUGUUUGUUUUUUUGCUGUUUGAUGACUUUCAGGUUUUGAAUAUGAGUGCACUUUUUCAUUCAGAAUAAAAAUUUUCACCAGAUUUUUCAGUGAAAGUUUGAAUGAAUCUCUUCUGGGAGUGACAGAUUUUGUCCAUGACAUCCUUUUAAUCUUUAGGCACAAUAGUAGAGGAAGUCUAGAAAUAAAAAUAAUUCCCAACCAAUAAAUUGAAUAAUUUAUUUUUCAAAAUGUCUGAAACAGACCAGAAGGAGUAUUUUGGAUUUAUUCAAAAUCUUUGGGAAAAUUGAAACAGCACAAUGCAUUUUCAGUAUGGCCUAUUCCGUACUUCUCACAGAAAGCUAAAAUUUGCAUGACAAAUGUGCCCACCUCCAAAGUAGACUGUAAACUGAGAGAACCAACUAAAUAAAUCACUUUGCAAGAGACAA